This 970-nucleotide ribosomal RNA is filed under the name Cyclommatus albersi. RNAcentral describes it as "partial 16S ribosomal RNA". The stretch from base 433 to 633 matches the Rfam family "Archaeal large subunit ribosomal RNA", at positions 1797 to 2106 of the family's 2987-position model. Lineage: Eukaryota; Metazoa; Arthropoda; Insecta; Coleoptera; Lucanidae. The record is from RNAcentral.
AUUAAAUAAAAUCUUUGAAUUAAGAAUUCCCGAAUUUUGGGGAGCUAAUUAUAAAAUUAUUUUAAUGUGGAAAAAUUAUUUAUAAUUUAUAGUUUGUAAUUAUAUGUUAGUCAUUCUUUAAUAUAUCUGGUUUUCUAAGAAAUUAAUUGAAUUAAUUUAGUCAAAUAAGUAUAUUUAAUUUAAAAUAAAUUUUUGUCUAUUUUAAUCUUAAAGGGAUAAGCUUUUAAGAUUAUUUUUAUAAUUAAUCUAGAAUUGAAUUAAAUAGGAUUAGAAGUUUCCAUUUUUUAUAGAGUUUAAUAACCAGUUUUAUUAAAUAAUUAGAUUUAUUAAGUGUUUAAAUUUUUUAUUGGAAUAAUUUGUUUAAUAGAAUAUUAAAUGUAAUAAUGAUAGAAUUAGUAAAAUUAAAUGUAUAUAGUAUUUUUAUUAAUAAGUUUUUGAAAAGGAAUUCGGCAAAUUAAUUUUCCGCCUGUUUAUUAAAAACAUGUCUUUUUGUUUAAUAUUUAAAGUCUAGCCUGCCCAAUGAUUAUUUGAAUGGCCGCGGUAUUUUGACCGUGCAAAGGUAGCAUAAUCAUUAGUUUUUUAAUUGAAAGCUGGUAUGAACGGUUUGACGAGAAAAUUACUGUCUCUUUAAAAUUAAUUGAAUUUUAUUUUUUAGUUAAAAAGCUAAAAUUUUUUUAAGGGACGAGAAGACCCUAUAGAAUUUUAUAAUUAUUAAUCUUAUGAUUUAUUAGUAUUUAUAUAAUAUUAGAUUAAUAAUUAUUUUAUUGGGGCGAUAGGAAAAUUUAAUAAACUUUUAAUUAUAAAUAACAUUAAUUUAUGUAUGUAUGAUCCAUUUUUUUGAUUAUAAGAGAAAAUUACCUUAGGGAUAACAGCGUUAUUAAUUUGGAGAGUUCAUAUCGAUAAAUUAGUUUGCGACCUCGAUGUUGGAUUAAAAUUAUGUUUAGGUGGAGAUGCUUAAAUGGUAAGUCUG